GCCAUAGUGAUUUUCGUCGAAUUUCGCCAGAAAACCGAGACUACUUUACUAUACUGUUUGUGUGUACUAUUUCAAUAUAUGUAUUUCACAAUGUUGUUUGCGGGAUGAGGGUGUUUUUUAGCUGUGCGAACCCCUACGGGACCCAAAAAGAAGUCAAGGUUUCGUAUAUGCACGAUGCAAAUAUCAAGAAUGUGCUUUUUGGGAAUCUCAUCCCCUUCUCCCGCUGUUUAAACACAUUCAAAUUGAACGGCACGGGAAAAAACCAGAAAAGUUAUUUUUUUCAAUCCGAAAAAAACAUGUUUAUAAUUCCAAAACGUAGCUUUUUUUUUUUACCUAUUAAAAAGUCCG
Cinara cedri is the source of this 348-nucleotide non-coding RNA. NCBI's taxonomy places the organism in Eukaryota, Metazoa, Arthropoda, Insecta, Hemiptera, Aphididae. The record is from the annotation of a GenBank genome assembly.